CAGACGAUGCGUCAUGCAUAUCAAUAAGCGGAGGAAAAGAAACUAACAAGGAUUCCCCUAGUAACAGCGAGUGAAGCGGGAAGAGCUCAAAUUUGAAAUCUUAAAGGGUUUCCCUUUACGAAUUGUAGUUUAAAGAAGUGUUUUCUGUUGAGGUUUUGGUAAAAGUUCUUUGGAAUAGGACAUCAUAGAGGGUGAGAAUCCCGUAUUUGACCUUUACUUUCAACUUUGUGAUACACUUUCAAAGAGUCGGAUUGUUUGGGAAUGCAGUCCAAAAUGGGUGGUAAAUUUCAUCUAAAGCUAAAUAUUGGCGAGAGACCGAUAGCGAACAAGUACCGUGAGGGAAAGAUGAAAAGAACUUUGAAAAGAGAGUUAAACAGUACGUGAAAUUGUCAAAAGGGAAGCGUUUGACACCAGUGUUGUUUUUCUGAAAAUCAAUUAAAGAACUGUUUAUGCUAAGUUGUUUAGACUUUAUCAGCUAAUCUGUUUAGUUUUGAGCUUUUCUUUAAUGCACUUUUCAGUUAACAAGUCAACAUCAAUUUCUUUUGCUGUAAAAAAGCUUGAGGAAGGUGGCUUGAGAUUCGUCUUAAGUGUUUAUAGCCUCUUGCCUAUGCAGUCGGAGAGAUUGAGGUCUGCAGCGUAGAUCCUUCGGGGCUAAAUGCAUUUGUGCUAAGUUAUAGCAUUUUAUAGACAACUUGUUGACUAUGAUUUGUCUUGUAGCUUACUCGCUUAUGUUAUUUACCUACGCUUAGGAUGUUGAAUCUGUGCGAGACUAC
This 773-nucleotide ribosomal RNA is filed under the name uncultured Neocallimastigales. RNAcentral describes it as "partial large subunit ribosomal RNA". It matches the Rfam family "Eukaryotic large subunit ribosomal RNA", at positions 18 to 644 of the family's 3401-position model. Lineage: Eukaryota; Fungi; Neocallimastigomycota; Neocallimastigomycetes; Neocallimastigales. The record is from RNAcentral.